RNAcentral lists this ribosomal RNA (271 nucleotides) under uncultured bacterium. Its description in RNAcentral is "partial small subunit ribosomal RNA". It matches the Rfam family "Bacterial small subunit ribosomal RNA", at positions 26 to 291 of the family's 1533-position model. The record is from RNAcentral.
AGAACGAACGCUGGCGGCAUGCCUAACACAUGCAAGUCGAACGCUUCCGGGGCUUCGGUCGCGGAGGAGUGGCGCACGGGUGAGUAGCGCGUGGGAACCUGCCCUGUUGUGGGGGAUAACCGAGGGAAACUUCGGCUAAUACCGCAUACGCCCCGGGACUUGGUCUUCGGAUUAGGUCUGGGGGGAAAGAUUGAUCGCAGCAGGAGGGGCCCGCGUCGGAUUAGCUGGUUGGUGGGGUAACGGCUCACCAAGGCGAUGAUCCGUAGCUGGU